RNAcentral lists this ribosomal RNA (1454 nucleotides) under uncultured bacterium. RNAcentral's name for it is "partial 16S ribosomal RNA". It matches the Rfam family "Bacterial small subunit ribosomal RNA". The record is from RNAcentral.
GAUGAACGCUAGCGGCAUACUUAAUACAUGUGAGUCGAGGGGCAGCGGAUCCAUCUUGGGAUGCCGGCGACCAGCGAACGAGUGAUUAAUACCUAUGGAAUCUACCCUUAUCUGGGGAAUAACCUUGAGAAAUCCAGGGUAAUGCCCCAUACCAUCUUGAAAAGGCAUCUUUUCACAUGAAAGCUCCCGCCGUUAAAGAUAGACAUGCGCUCCAAUAACUUGUUGGUGAGAUAACCGCUCACCAAGGCCGCCAUUGAUAACUGAUCUGAAAAGAUGAUCAACCACAUUGGCACUGAAACACCGGCCAAACUCCUACCGGAAGCAACAGUAGGGAAUCUUGGUCAAUUGGCGAAAGCCAUAACCAGUCAUGCCGCGUGCAGGAUGAAAGCCCUACGGGUCGUAAACUGCUUUUAUUCGGGAAGAAAAAGUCUGUUUCCACAGACCUUGACGGUACCGAUUGAAUAAGGACCGGCCAACUCCGUGCCAGCAGCCGCGGUAAUACGGAGGGUCCAAGCGUUAUCCGGAUUCACUGGGUUUAAAGGGUGCGCACGCGGCCAAGUAAGUCAGUGGUGAAAGCCUUCGGCUCAACCGGAGAAUUGCCAUUGAAACUACUUGGCUUGAGUGCAGUAGAGGUAGGCGGAAUGUAACAUGUAGCGGUGAAAUGCAUAGAUAUGCUACAGAACACCGAUAGCGAAAGCAGCUUACCACACUGUAACUGACGCUGAGGCACGAAAGCAUGGGUAGCAAACAGGAUUAGAUACCCUGGUAGUCCAUGCCGUACACUUUGAACACUCGGAGUUUGCCACCUAGUGGUAAGCUCCCUAGUGAAAGCGUUAAGUGUUCCACCUGGGGAGUACGGCCGCAAGAGAUAAAACUCAAAGGAACUGAGCGGGGGCCGCGCACAAGCGGAGGAGCAUGUGGUUUAAUUACAUGAUACGCGCAGGAACAUUACCCGGGCCAUAAUGCGUGUGACAGGUGCGGAAACAGAGUGUUCGUUAGGGACACAGUGCAAGUUGUUGCAUGGCUGUCGUCAGCUCGUGCCGUGAGGUGUUGGGGUAAGUCCCCCUAACGAGCGCAACCCCUAUGUUUAGUCGCCAGCAUUUUCAGGUGGGCACUGUAACGAAACUGCGUAAGUAAGUGGAGAGGAAGGAGGGGAUGAGGCCAAGUCAUCAUGGCCACUAUGCCGGGGGAUACACACAUGCUACAAGGGGGGGUGCAGAGGGAAGCCACUAGUCAACAAGGGGCUUAUCCCUAAAGACCAUCGUAGUUAGGUUGAGUGUCUGCAACUGGAAUCCAUGAAGAUGGAUUAUCUGGUAAUCGUGGAUCAGCAAGGUCACGGUGCAAUAGGUCUACCCGGGCCUUGUACACACCGGCGUUCAAGCCACGGAAGUCGGGAGUACUAGAAGCCAGUAACAGUACAGGAGCGGACGAGGGUAAGCUUGGCAACUGGGGUU